Peromyscus eremicus (cactus mouse) is the source of this 1781-nucleotide long non-coding RNA. RefSeq lists it as uncharacterized. The transcript is spliced from 3 exons. NCBI's taxonomy places the organism in Eukaryota, Metazoa, Chordata, Mammalia, Rodentia, Cricetidae. The record is from RefSeq and is a predicted model, not a curated record.
GCACAAGUGCAAGGUGUUACUCUUGGACUUGGGACCACUAUGGAGGUGCAGGAAGCCUGGCUAAGGUCGGUCUGUGGAGAUGGCGAGUUUGGUUCUGGGCAGUCAGACCUGGAAGUCAUCCCAGUGUUGAGAAGUCAGUGUUACAUAAACUUGAUGUUCCCUGUCCACGGAUACGGCCACCUUCUGCUAGUUUAACAGACACCACCAGCUCCCAAGAGAAUUCCACAAAAGCCUUUGAUUUAGUGAAGCAAAAGAUUCGAGAGCCAGCUGAGGGAAUCUGCCACAUCUCUUCAGCUCCCACUCCUCUCAGCGGAGAGCCACAGGAGGAAGUUGGAGCGGGGAGGAGGUCUGUGCGCCCGCCACAGCAAGCCAAGGGACUUUAAAAGGGCAGGACUCUGGGGAUAGAGGAGAUAACUCCCAAGCUCCAUCCACUCAUGUUCAGGGAAAGGGAAAGAGAAAGUGACUACUUGUCUUUGUUCUUAAUGGCAAAGAUGGAGCGGCAAGCCUCUAGCAAGGAAGGAGAGAGAGGGGAGAGGAAAAGCUUUCGUAGGAUCACAAGAAACCAGCCCAAAGCUUCCUUCCCUGUCAGCCCUGCCGCGUUUGGGAAAUCCGGGGCUCUACCCGUUCUGCUUCAUUAAGUUGCUGCAGAAAGAAAGAAAAAAAUGUAAUCUCACCUCCAGAUCCAUAGGCUCCUGCCAGAAGCAUGUUGCUGAGAAGAAAUGCAUGUACCCAAGCCAGCAGCAUCCUCGCCUCUCCCGGCUUGCAGGUGACUGAACAGCCAGGGUCCAAAUGGGGUCUCCUUGGCCGCGGUCUUGCCUCCUCGUUCUCAGCCUUGCAGUCAGACCGGCCCUUGUUAUGCUCUUGUGGUAAACAGCCUCUCUUUAGAACUGGGAGCUUCCCAGCUAGCUUGCUGCAGCCGAGGUGUUUUUCAGCGGAAAGGCGCCCCCUGGGUCCUAAGCCUCCUAGACCACACCAGAUCACUAACCCCGAGCCAAGAGAGGAACUCAGCCAAGUCAAGAGUGGCAGAGAGGGUCAGCCUCUGCUUAGCAGCAGAUCCGUCUGAGACCGCAUCCCCAGAGCUUUGCUUCCCUUCUUUUUCCAUCUGUGAGUACAGAGUCAUCGUGUCAGAAGGCAUCGCGGAGUGGGGUGGAUUCCGAGCGCUGAAGCACACGCAGCACAGUAGUAAAAAGAUAAUGCUGGCUACAAAAGCAGGAGGCGUUUAAAACCACAAAGGCAGCACAAAUCAGAAGAAUAUCUGCCUGGAAGCAACUCUCUACCCAUUUGUAUAUAUUUCAACCGUACUUUGCCAGGGUCAGGGUCUCAUGCAACUCAGGCUAACCUCAAACUCUACGAAGCUGAACUUGACCUUGAACUGCUCAUCCUUCUGCAAAGUGCUGGGAUCACAGGUGUACACGUCCACAUCUGUUAACCACAAAGCACCAACUUGAGGAGCACUGGCUAUAACAAGACUGUAAGAGAAAGCAGCUUCCCAUUUGAGGGUGCUGUUAUUAAUCCACUGGUGAGGUGCCACCCCAUUAACUUGCCAGAAUGGAGCUCCCUCUAUUUCCUGUUUAGAAGUGGACCUGAAAUCUCAAGGUAAGUGUCUGAACACUGUCACCACAUAGACACGUGUAUCUCCUUACUGUACAGUCAAAGCAUGAAGCCGACAGCAAUGCCAUGGAGGUAGAAGUCGCCACCAUUUCCCUCCUCGACCCCAGACACCUGCACCAGCACAAGCCUCCUGUUCCUCUGUCGUCACAAGGAAACGGUACUAACUUAAA